AACGAACGCUGGCGGCAUGCCUAACACAUGCAAGUCGAACGAGACCUUCGGGUCUAGUGGCGCACGGGUGCGUAACGCGUGGGAACCUGCCCUUAGGUUCGGAAUAACUCCCCGAAAGGGGUGCUAAUACCGGAUAAUGUCUUCGGACCAAAGAUUUAUCGCCUUUGGAUGGGCCCGCGUUGGAUUAGCUAGUUGGUAGGGUAAAAGCCUACCAAGGCGACGAUCCAUAGCUGGUCUGAGAGGAUGAUCAGCCACACUGGGACUGAGACACGGCCCAGACUCGUACGGGAGGGAGCGGUGGGGAAUAUUGGACGAUGGGCGAAAGCCUAAUCCAGCAGUGCCGCGUGAGUGAUGAAGGCCUUAGGGUUGUAAAGCUCUUUUACCCGGGAUGAUAAUGACGGUACCGGGAGAAUAAGCACCGGCUAACUCCGUG
This 433-nucleotide ribosomal RNA is filed under the name uncultured bacterium. RNAcentral's name for it is "partial 16S ribosomal RNA". It matches the Rfam family "Bacterial small subunit ribosomal RNA", at positions 29 to 507 of the family's 1533-position model. The record is from RNAcentral.